RNAcentral lists this long non-coding RNA (640 nucleotides) under Homo sapiens (human). RNAcentral describes it as "long non-coding RNA NONHSAT249945". The record is from RNAcentral. Lineage: Eukaryota; Metazoa; Chordata; Mammalia; Primates; Hominidae.
UCAGUCAUUGAGAGUUAUGUAAGACUUAACUUCAUAUAUUAGAGAAAAAAAGGAGUAUUUACAUCUUAAAUUGUACAAUAUAACUUCUUUUUUUACCCAUGUGAUGUAGUUAUGUUGAUUAAUACAUUUGGUUGUAAUUCCACAUAUUGUAAGUAACAUUACAUUUUUAGUAAGCCAUUUCUUGCUGUGUAAUCAACACUAAUUCACUCUGGCUUCUAACGCUUAUGCCCAUAUUUCCAUGUUUGAAGGGUGACUAUUGCUCUACUAGACUCAUAUAUGAUUGUCUUGACUUAAUGUUAAGCUGCAAAUUACAUGCAAAUCUCCUCCAUAUAUUUCCUAACUCUCUUUAAAUCAUUGGUUACUAUUCAGCUCCUCAAAUCACUGUCUUUUGAUGGCAGAUCCAAAACAGCAAAAAGACAGGCCAACUUCCUGAAUCAUAGGUAUAGCCUUUGCUUAUAUCUCACUUUACUCUCUUUUGACCACCGUAAGCCAGAGAGCAAAUCCCAAAUUUAUGGAGCCAGAAAGGAGUGAAUGUUUGUUGAGAAGUAUCUCAUUUUGUAUCAUACAUAUUAUCUUCGCUGGGUCUGUUUCUUAGUAUUAAUGUGUACAUGCAUGUACACACACAACUAUUAUUACACUU